Molecule: transfer RNA, 73 nt
Filed under: Stegodyphus mimosarum
Lineage: Eukaryota; Metazoa; Arthropoda; Arachnida; Araneae; Eresidae
Rfam family: tRNA
About the family: Transfer RNA (tRNA) molecules are approximately 80 nucleotides in length. Their secondary structure includes four short double-helical elements and three loops (D, anti-codon, and T loops).
Source: Rfam by way of RNAcentral
GCCUUCGUGGUGGAAUUGUUAGCACGCUCGAAUCCUAUUCGAGAGGUCCGUGGUUCAAGUCCCGGCUGAGGCG